RNAcentral lists this ribosomal RNA (460 nucleotides) under uncultured bacterium. RNAcentral describes it as "bacterial SSU rRNA". It matches the Rfam family "Bacterial small subunit ribosomal RNA", at positions 337 to 794 of the family's 1533-position model. The record is from RNAcentral.
GCCUACGGGGGGCAGCAGUGGGGAAUAUUGGACAAUGGGCGCAAGCCUGAUCCAGCCAUGCCGCGUGAAGGAUGAAGGCCCUAUGGGUCGUAAACUUCUUUUAAACGGGACGAAACCCCUCGACGUGUCGAGGGCUGACGGUACCGUAAGAAUAAGGGUCGGCUAACUUCGUGCCAGCAGCCGCGGUAAUACGAAGGACCCGAGCGUUAUCCGGAUUUAUUGGGUUUAAAGGGUGCGUAGGCGGACUUUCAAGUCAGUGGUGAAAGCCCAUCGCUCAACGAUGGAAUUGCCAUUGAUACUGUUGGUCUUGAGUAUAGUUGAGGUGGGCGGAAUGUGUCAUGUAGCGGUGAAAUGCUUAGAUAUGACACAGAACACCUAUUGCGAAGGCAGCUCGCUAAGCUAUAACUGACGCUGAGGCACGAAAGUGUGGGUAGCAAACAGGAUUAGAUACCCCGGUAGC